RNAcentral lists this small nuclear RNA (101 nucleotides) under Carlito syrichta (Philippine tarsier). The record is from RNAcentral. Lineage: Eukaryota; Metazoa; Chordata; Mammalia; Primates; Tarsiidae.
AUGCUCUCUUCAGCAGCACAUGUACUAAAGUUGUAAUGAUACAGAAAAGAUUAGCAUGGCACAAGAAUGACGUGCAAACUUGUGAAACAUUCCACAUUUUA